RNAcentral lists this ribosomal RNA (201 nucleotides) under uncultured bacterium. Its description in RNAcentral is "partial 16S ribosomal RNA". It matches the Rfam family "Bacterial small subunit ribosomal RNA", at positions 524 to 724 of the family's 1533-position model. The record is from RNAcentral.
GACAGAGGGUGCAAACGUUGUUCGGAAUUACUGGGCGUAAAGCGCGUGUAGGCUGUUUCGCAAGUCGGAUGUGAAAGCCCUGGGCUCAACCCAGGAAGUGCAUUCGAAACUGCAGAGCUGGAGUCCUGGAGAGGAAGGCGGAAUUCUCGGUGUAGAGGUGAAAUUCGUAGAUAUCGAGAGGAACACCGGUGGCGAAGGACG